AUUGAAUGUUGUUUAUGGGGUCAGAACAGUGCAAGCAGGAGCGGGAAGAGGGGCCAAUGAAUGAGUUUUGGAUUUAGCAAGUGUGGAACAGGUGCAUGGUGGUUGUGGUAAGUGUUCAUGCAUUAAGCCAAUGCCUUAUUGAACCAAAAUAAGGUGUUUCCUAAGCUAGACAAGCAAGGUGAUCAAUCUGGAGUGAGGAGUCAAACAGCCUUAAAUAGAGAUAGAGCCUAGCAACUGUAAACUCUGGUACUUAUUGGUGAAGGUCACAAUCACAUCACAAAGUAUGGCACUCGUAUAUUAGACGAUAGAAAACUUGUAGUGCUUCAGAUCCGUCCAAAUUGAGUAAUAUGGAAAUUUUGGUAGCACUGAUAAUGGGGAUUUUCCAGAAAAAUUUCUGGGUCAAUCAUGCCUGUCUUGGGGUGGGUCAAUCAUGCCCGUCUGAGUCAAGCAUGGUAAGUCUUAGCCUUCGCUGGAAAAUAGAGGAGUUUAUGCUGGUAGAAACUAUAGGCAAGUAGUAACCAUGAGCCUGUCUAGUGUUGUCAAUGAGUUAUUCAUAUUGUUGUCACAUGAUAUUUUACAUGGCCGAAAUGACAUGUUCUGAGAUUUUGUCUGGAUAUGUUUUAAAUGCUAUUCAUUCAUAAUAGAUAAAUCACUAUUUUGAGUAAGAGUGUCAAUAUGAUACCAUGACCUAGCAGGUGAGGUUUCUGAUGUUGGAUUUAUUAUUAUUACUUUGCUGUAGAAUUUUAUUACUAUGCACUUGUAUUUGUGUUUCCUUUUCAAGAUCCCUGAAUAUCAAAUGUGAUGGUUAUGCUGUUCAUCUGGUCAUCUUCAUGGAUGUUAACAUAAGAUGAGAAACACCCUAAUAAACCCCAACAUAUAUGUUAAUGUUAAGAUGGAAUUUGAAAAUGACUCAGUUUUCCCUUUUCUACCUUGGGAAAGUACUACCUUGGAGAUAUAUUGAUGCAGUAAGACUGUAUUAGCAUUUCCUUUGUUCAAAUUUUACUUUUAUUUUUAUGAUGUCAGACUAGCUUAUGUUUUAUCCUAUUGAUUUUUUGUAGAGCAGGGUUGGCUGUAUAAAAGUAGGAUUCUGGUUUUUUUCUGAUUGAAGGAUAGUUCCCCCCUUCCCCUCUCUUUUGUUUUUUGUGAAGUUCUUCACAUAGAACUUCAGCUUUGGCAGUAAGACCCCCUGACCAAGCUUUCCUUUAGGCUUUCUGCAAGAACCUCAACUUUGAUCAUGAAUCAAAUUUCUUCUUUUCCCAUGCUACUGCCUGCAUAAAUAAUGUUACCUUUCUCUACAUAGAUAGCACUUCCUUCAAGAAAUCAUGCAAGUUAAAUGCUAGCAUUGUAUGCUAUGCACAUACUGGAAUGGAGAUCCUUUUGCAACUAGGUAAUCAGCUUGCACAUUACUAGGUACUGGAACCAGUCAAUAGGGUCUUCAAGUCAACUGUGUGAUGUUUGUGUAUUUGGUGUCAUAAAGUCCUAGCUAGAACAUAAUUGAUCUUUCCAGCUGAGUCAAAGCAUAGUACCUCCCCAUUCCCGACCAUUCGUAUGCCUAAUCUUUGCUGGAGGCCUAGUGUGCAUAAGAGACAAAUGCUGGAUAAGACAUUGCUGAAUAGACAUUGAUUAGAGUGUUUCACAUUGUUCUCUAACAUUUUUUCAUCAAAUGGAAGCCGCUAAAAAGGGAUACACGCAUGCAAGCUCCUCUCUCAUUUUUUGUUUAUUUUGUUUGAAUACUACAGUCCAUUGAGUUCCUAUAUUUCAUGUGAGGUUGAGCUCGUACAUUGCUGUCUUUUAAAAUAUUGCUUUGUGCUGUUCUUAUUUCCAGUAUACUCACUGAAAUCAUCUUUUUGGCAUGGGCAUCUUUUCUCUGGACAGAGUACUUCAUUAUCGUUUUUGGUUAUUCUUCUUCUUUCUCUGGUGAUGGGAAUUGUUCUCAACUACACUAUGUUCUUGUGUACCAUUGUUAACUCUGCUUUAACCACCACUAUAGUUGGUGUCCUCAAGGGGGUCGGUUCAACGGUAUGUAAGGAUUCAAUUUUUCUUUGCAGUUUAAUUACUAUAUCUAUCUAAAGAAAAUCUAAGAGCCUGAAGCCAGUUUUUUUGGACGUCUUUUCUAUGCUUUUCAUAAGAGGUUAGAUAAUUGAUGCACUCAUUUCUUUGCUUCUGUGCAGACCUUUGGUUUCAUAUUGUUAGGAGGAGUGCAAGUGCACGCACUGAACGUUACUGGACUAGUAAUCAAUACAGCUGGUGGUAUAUGGUACUCAUAUGCGAAAUAUCACCAAAAGAAGAGCAAGUUGCCAAAGCUAAUGUCGGAUGUGGAAGCCCAUCGCAAGUGAAAUUCAUGCGGGUGGGUGUCCAGAAGCUGGCUUAAUAACUUAUUUCAUUCUUUGUUUAAAAUUUAGGUGCUUCGUCCAUGAAGUGGGGACUGGAGAGUAACAGGGCAUUCAUUAUACAUGACAUAACGCUAAUUUGAGCUCGAGUGAUUGUAAGCCAAUUUGAUGUUGAAAAGAAGAAAGUGAUCUUGUGGAAAGGAGGGAAAUAUUGAGAACCGUGAGGGAACAAAUUGUCAGAAGAUAUUAGAAUUGAGAAUUGAAUGACAUGUUUUGGAGGCUAGGAAAGUUUAGCAAGUAUUGUAGCCAAACCACUAGUGAAUACACAAUGGCAAAGGUGUGGAAUGGCAGAGAAGUUAGUGGUAAUGAUGCAUUCAAGAUCCGAAGUCUAUUUUCGAUAUGUGUAUUGCUUUAUUUGUUUCUCGUUAUGUGGUUUACAACUGAACUCGACUGGUGCGGUGUAUUCGGGUUUCUUGAAGCAACGGAAACAAAAUGUACAAGAGCCGGAGUCAUUAUUUAUUGUACGGAUGAGUAGGCUUGCUAAUUGGAUCAUAUGAGUCGGGCGGUUUAAAUCAUUUAAUUUGUAACACUUUCGAAUUUUGGAUCCUGAGUUAUUUUUAUAUCAAAUCGAGUUUAUAUUAUAUACGUAAGUAAUCUUUUUAUUGACUGUAUGUAAGCAAAAACGUGAAUUAAAUCAAGCGAAUAUAAGGUGGAUUUUACCAUUAUCGAAAGAGGGCACUUGCUGGACAGACUAAAUUACAGUUUUAGGCAUCAUAGUUUCAAAAUGAUUUAAUGUUGUCCUAUCAAAUGAUAAAUGUACUCCACUAACCAAAGAAAAAUUGACAUUUUAUAAGUACCAGAUACUUCUGGUUUCACCCCAAAUAGUUUGCGGUAAGUUAAUUUGCAUUUGCAUUUGCAUUUGAGCCUGUAAGUAAUCUGAAAGAACUCUUAUUGAAAAAGAAUAAAAUGAUACAAACAACCCAUGCCUUAAUGAUUGCUAGAGUAUAAGCCAAAUAUUAUAAGAAGUUUGAUUUGCUAGUGAGUUUUUAAACAACAAAUAUUUGUAUUUUAAUGAGUUAUAGGGAUCAAUAGUUUCUUACAUAUUAUUAUUGUACUUAUUAAAUAUGUUUCACUACUUGCUAUAUGAAUGUUAUCAUUCUCCACUUCCAUUCAGGACAAUCUUUUUUUUCUAAAAAAAAAAAAAAUCCUUUGAUUUGUGCAUCCACUGAAUGAAAAUCGUGGCUCCGCCACUAGGUCAGUAAACUUUAUUUUGUAGGAUAAAGAUUGACUUAUCUGGUAAAAUGGAUUGGAAUGAUUUUGUUUUCAAUACAAACAUGAUUAUAUGGAAAGAAAUUCGUGUUGCAAAUUUACAUUUCAUUACAUUUCUCACCAUUAAACAUAGGAUUCAUUUUUAUUUUUUUUGCUCAAAAUUUUCCCUAACAAAUGCCUUGUUGCGAUCAAACACUUCAAUAAGCAGCGAGGAAGGAUGCCAAAACCGCAACAAAACCAAGAGUGCUAGAGGCCAGGUGCUUGAAACUUGCAUUUUUGUUUUUGUCAUCAUCAGCAUCUGCAGCUGUGCCUGAGAUGCAGGUGCAUCGCUCUUGGGGGCAUCUGAGGGGGCAUCAGAACUGGGAGCUGUGGCAUCAUCUGACGGAGUCGGUGCCUCCGGGGCCUCGCUAGCUGGGGGUGGAGACACCUUCUUGGCUGGAGCAGGAGCACCAGCUGCCUUGGGUGGUUCUUGAAGAGUGGUGCCAUCAACUCCAGGCGUCAUGAUAGCACUUGAAACACUGAUGAUGGAGUAGUUAAAUGGAUGCUGCGUUACUGUUGCAACAACCUGAACAUUGUGGGAGCACCUUUGGCAGCCGAGGAAAAUAUAAGCUGACCAUGACUUCUGUUUAGAAUCAAGAAGCCUUGAUCGUAAGUUGCCACACCAGUUUUUUGGAACAAGGUUGUCAUUCUUGUCCCAUUUUUUGCGUUUGCGAGCUUGAGGAGAUCAUAGUAGUCAAGAACCACAUGAGUCAUCAAGGUAAUUUUAAUAACAUCAGCCGGUUUACCAGCAAGGUCUCCAAUGUGCUCAUUAGGGAUGGCAAGAAUAGUUACGGGUGAUUGAGAAUUGAUGGCUUUAACCAAACCUGCCUUGCUCAAAAUCAUUGAAGUUACUAAAACUGGGGAUGUCCCCAGGACAGCAGUGAUGUUAAAUGCCGCUGUUGUGGCGGAGGAAGCAAGGAGCAAACAAGACAGGAAGAUCAAGGAGGUGGAGAUCUUGGAGGCACCCAUUUUUGGUAUUCAACGCCAAAGAAUGUGGCUAUGAAACAAAAAGGUUGCUUCUCUGUCUAUGAAACAAAAACGUUGCUUCGUUCUCUCCUUGCACUGAAAGAUGUCUUGCAAGUUAGAGCAUUAUAUAAUAGGGGUGAAAUGGAUUCAAAUGAUAAGAAUUUCGGACUUUAGGGAUGGGAUGAUUCUCUCUUUUCUUCGGGAUUAGGUAGAAUCGAUUGGUUGCGCGUAAAUAAAUAAAAGACAUCACAACGUGCCGUGAAUCUGAAUACAACAUUAUUUGGAAAAAAAAUUGAUUUUAUUAUAAAUACUUUUUUCAACUAUAUUUUUAAUCGUUCCAACUUCAUUUUAAUCUUAUAUACAUUAUAUUAUAAAAGUACUACAAUAGCGUUAUACUGAAAAUUUUUCAAAUAAUCCUCCAUCCAAACACUCUAUUUGAUCUUAAAGUGGCAGGAAUGAUUGGAUCUAAUUGUUUGUUUCUUUUUUUUAAAAAAAAAGAAUUGGUCGACCACAACCCUCAUCAUCGAUACUAAAUUAAAUUAUGAUAGCUAGGAUCACUUUUACCCUAUAAAUGUAAAUAUACUGUCAAAAAACAGUUUUGCAAUAUGAAAUUACAAAAUUUUAUUACAUUUAAUUGAGAAAAAUAUUUAAAUGAGUGAAAAAUCAUUUCUUUCCUUGAGACCACGUUUUCCUCGAACAGUUUGUCACCAUUCAAUAGUCAAAUUAGCCAAAUACUAAUUCUCGGAAUUAGUUGAAACUUUAGCGCUUCCUCGUGGUCUUCAAUUAGCUCACUAACGGGAUAAAUAUCAAUCAUGAAAUCUUCCUCAUAUAUCGUUUAUAGCUGUUUGUUGAUGAAUUGAGACAAUUUUAAGUAUAUGCGCAUUCCAGUGAGAUACCCCAACUAGCAUCUGGAUCAUAGAAACGGUGUAGAUGAAUAUCGAUCAAUGGCAGAAUCUAACAAAUAAAAAGGGAAAAAAGAAAAGACCAUAACCAGAAAGAGGACUAAUUCCAUUUUUCUUACAUCAUAUUAUGUUGAUGUUCCUAUAAUUAUGGUUUGUCUUUCCUUAUUUAGAAAAUACAUUCUAAAUAAAUAGCUUUUGGCAAAAAGUGUACUUUCUAUCUAGCCUCGAUUAUGUCUGAAGAGCCCUCUAGCCCUUUUGUUGGAGAGGAGGGAUUUGUGGUUGAUGACUCUGGGUAAAUGAAAGCUAUAUUUUCUUCUUCUUUUUUCCCCUUAAUUCUUUUAGCAGGGGAAAGGGAAAUUGACAGCAGGACUUCUAAUUUUCAAAACAUUAACCUUAGCCCACUAGACUAAUGAUAUUUCCUUUAGUUAUUGGGCUGAUAGGAAUUUACAAAUUAUGUUGAUUUUUCUGAAUUUCUAAAAUUAUACAUUCAACUGAUAGACCAUUAUCCUUUUUUCUUUCCCAAGCCUUCCGAAUAACAAGUACGGAUGCAAUUGAAUUGAACUAGCUCACAAACAUGGUCAAUAGGUCAACUCAACUUUAUUCUGACCAACUCAAAUCAAGAUCAAGCAGUUUAGUUAAGUGCUUGAGGGCUAGAAACCAAAGAUACUUGCUCUGUGGGCUCAUUGAACCUAGUAAUAUACAUAUUCUUCUUUUGUUUUUAAUAUUUAUUUGAUAAAAUGCCCAAUUUAUUUAUUUGAUAAAAUUUCCAAUUUGUUCCAGCUCAUUUAGGCUGAUUAAAAAAGGAAAAAAAAUAAGUGUCCUCUUGGUUAAAUUAACGUCAAUUGAACAUCAAUAUGAGUAAGAAAACUAGUGGAAGAGAAGACGAAGAUUAUAAUUUUAGUAUAUCUUUUCUUAAACUGUACCGUACAAAUUCCUACAUGACUUGUGGACUUGGAUUUCAAAUAUUUGUAAUUAAGGAUUUCAAUUGUAAUAACUAAUGAAUUUAAGUAAGAACAUGAAGUGCUUUCUGGAAUUUUAAAAAGAUUUUCUUUUUUCUUUUGGUUGUCUCCCCUUCUUAUUAGAACCCAACAUUUUAAUAAUAAAGUUUAAGUUUUAGAAUAAAUCUUACAAUGUAUAAAGUAUCAUCAUUGGAUCCACGACACAUAUGUAGAAGUUGCAUUUCAAAUCUAAAUUCUGCAUAAUUGUCAUUCAUUUAAGACUGACAAUAUAUAUAUAUAUAUAUAUAUACUAUCGGUAUAUAGAAGAUUAAUCCAAAGUUUUAAUGUAGAAGAUUAAUGUCCAUUCUAUAAAAAAUAUAUUUUAUUCGAAAUUAAGUUGACAGCAAUUGAACUUUGAAAAGAAAUUAAUAAAGGUCAACAUGAUUCACGCAUAGUAUAUGUUGUUAUAGUUUAAAAGGACCUUUAAUUGAUUGUUUGAGUAUCAAGUGAAAAAAAUGAUAGAACUCAUGAUCAAUUAAUCAUACUAUAGAAACUUAAUUAUGUGUAUCGCACCAACUUUAAGACAAUAAGAUUAUGCAUACCGAAUAUUGAUUUCAUGUAUACACAAAGUGUAGACACCAAAUUUUUAUCAAUUUUAAUAUUUUCCUCGAUUAUUUUCUAUUUGAUGAGUCAUUUAUUUUCAUGUGUAUUUUUCUUAUAUUUGCAGGUUUAUUUUAGCAAAAGAAAAACAAAAAAAAAAUCAAAAAUAAAAAAUAGAAAAUAAAAAAAAGGGCAUCAUGAUGUCUAGUCAUCAUGAUGUCUCUGGACAUCAUGAUGACUAGACAUCAUGAUCCCAUCUUUUGACCGAGGAGCAACGGAUGGAAAUUGAAGAAAAGGCUCCAAAAUUGCGUGAGGAGUCCCUGGAGCUCCAACGGACAGAAAGAAAAAUGCUCUCCCGAGCUCUUCUCAGAAGCUCUGAACAGACGAAGGAAAAAACUGCAGAGAGGUUCUCAGGAGCUCAGGGGACCGAAAAGAAAAAAACACCCCUCAUUUGCUCCCUCUCUCAGGCCUCGGUGCAGAAGGAAAAUUUGCAGAGAGGCCCCUGAUUCACUCUCGCAUCUCUCCCUCUCUCGGACGAAGGCUACGGACAGAAAACAGAGAGGGAAAGAAAUUUUUGCAGAAGAGAUCCCUAGCUCAAUUUCUCUCGGUGGAGCAAUGGAACAAAAGAAGGGAAGGAAGAAAAUUGCUCCGAGGACCUCGACUGAGGCAGAAGCAGAAAAGAGAAGGAAUUUGCAGCAGAGGUCCCUGGAUCAUCUCCAGAACUCUCUUCCUCUCUCUCGGACUUGUGUAGAAGAAAGGGGCAAGGCCAAUAAAAAUGAUUGGAGCUUGCAAUUUCAUCAAAUUUUAAUCAAGAGACUACAAUCUUCAUUGAGGUAUUUAUUCUUUUAUCUUUUUUCCAACUUUUUCCUUUCUUUAAUUUAUUAAAUUAAAUACAUGAUUUGAUGUUUGUUUGUCCCUUGGCUUCGUUUGUUGUUGUUACUGAUGUUGUUGAAUUUUUGGGGAAUCCAUGAAUAAACAUUAAAAAAAAUGAUUUCUGUGAAUGCAUGAUAAUUGUUUGAAAAAUGUGAAAAAUGAAAAAAAUGAAUUUCAAGGGCUGUUUUGCUUUAUUUUAAUUUUUUUUAUGUUGUUUUCUUGUCAAAUAAAAUCAUACUUAUAUGGUAGGAAUUGUAAGGAGUGUUGUAGUAUAAUUUUUAUGAUUUUUGGUGAAAAUUUGAGUAUUUUAAAAAUAAUAAAAAUCGUGGCUGUUUCUGGCAUUUUGACUAUCUUCGAAUUGUUUUCUGUGCAAACUAAAUCCGGAUUUGGAAUCUACUCGAAAAAUCGAGUGAAAAUGUGUGUUUUAAUAAUUUUUGGUGACCGGAAAAAUUGCCGGCGAUCGGUAACCGGAGGCACCGUCAGCGGUAACCACGGGCACCGACAGAAUGUUGUAGGAAAAGUUGCAGAAGUUGAUUUCCGAAGCUUUGCAUGAUAAUCUGGAAAAUUUGCGGUUCAGCCCCCCGAACUUUUAAAUAAUUACAUUGUGGCCCAAAAGCUUUUGUAAUUGGACCAGUCUUGUCCCUAUUGAGUUUUUUAUUUUCUUUUUCAUAUUUUAACUGCAUUUCAAGUAUGUUGUUUCAUAACCCAUUUCGUUGCUAAUUAUAUUUUAAUAAUUUUGAUAGAUUUAUUAUUUUGAUUGGUUUGAUAAAAUAAUUGGAGUUUUUGGGUUGAGAUUUGUUUGGUUGGGUUUUGGUAUAAAAUUUGGGUCAUUUUAUUGGGUUUUAGAAAUGGGUUUUGGUUUAUUUCUUGUGGGUUUGGGUUGGGCUAAGAAGUCAAAACCCAUGUAUUUAUUUGAGUUGAAUUGAGUGAUAAAAAAGACGGGCUGCCCAUUUCUUUCUUGGAUUUUCAGUUGGGCUGAGAGGGUUUUCGGCCCAAACAAAUAAAUAAAAUGGCCCAGUGGCCCAUUUGGCUGAGAAAUCUGGUUACGAAAUUGCAAAUCAGUCCCUGUACCCUUGAGCAUUUUCUCUAUGGCCCUAAAUAUUUUGAUUUCUUUCAAUCAGAUCCUUCAUAUAAUUGUAAAUAGGUCCCUGAACUUUAUUUUUAUUUAAUUGUGAUCCCAUAUCUUUGUGAUAAUUAUAAUUUGCCCCCAAAACUUUGUUUAUUUUUGCAAUUAGAUCCUUAACAGAUUGGAUUGCUUAAAUAGAAGUUGCUUUUCUUCUAUAAUCAUUGAUUACACUUCAUUUAAGUGUUUCAAUUGAUUGAUUUCAUUUUUAUUUCCAUUUGCUAUGAUUUAUUUGUUAUUUAAAUUGGUGCCUUGAUGAUUUUGUUAAUUUUGGAGGUAAAUAGGGCAAAUCCAAUUUCCCAUUAAUUACUACUUCAAGGGAGGUAUCUUCUUGUAUCAUUUUAAAUCCUCUUAUGUGCUCCAAUGUGUUUUAUGUGCAAUCACAUGUUUCGAGUGUUAUUCUUUUAUUUAUUAUUAUUCUUUUCUUUUUAUUAUUGUGAUUCAUUUUUAAUUUUAUUUAUUUUAUUUUAUUUUAUUCUUGAUUAUUUGAGAAGGCAAUUAAAUGUCACAAUUGUAAUAGUUAGGUAUUUAUUUUAAUUAUUUAUUUUAUUUCCCUUUUAGAUUGUAGUAGGCUUCCCCCCUAAUGUAAUAGUUAGGGCUUGUUUGCUUUAUUUACUUGGUGUGAUUUGCGUGCUUCUUGCUACGUGUUACUGUUUUUCUUAGGAUAUUUGCAUCUAGAUAUUAUGCUUACAUGUUAUGUGUUACGUGCUCUUAUGUGUUUAUUUAUUUUAAUUUAUACUUUAUUUGUUUACUAUGUAUUGUUAAUGCAUAACGUCACCACACUAGUCCAACGCUAGUUGUGGCUUCUCCUUCUAUUUACUUGCUAGUCCAACGCUAGUAAGGAUUUCUAGAAAUGGGCUAGUCCAACGCUAGACCCGUAUAUGGUUCAUGCAUUAGAUUCAUUGUUGUAUGAUAUUUAUUACAUUUUCAUGCAUAUUUUAUUUUUUAGGAUCUUUUCUCAUUUGCAUGAUAUUUUCAAUUAUAUUAUCCUCUACCCCUUACCCUCUACAUAUGUUAAUCAUAUCAUUUAGAAUUGCAUUUCAUUUAAGAAAUUGUGGAAUAAGUUAGUUCAUUCGCUUGUUCAUAUUAGAAUAAUUAUUCUUUGAACAGGAAAAUGGGUUAUUAUGACUUUUUUAGUUUAAAUAUCCCAUUAAUCCCUGUAUGAUAAAAUUAUGUCACGAGUUUUUGUCUCCCGUACCCAUUAUGAUGCAUCCCUAUUCUUUGAUCACUUAUAUCUAUGUAUAGAAUUUAAUUUGCUUCUUCUGUUUAUUUGAUUUCAUCAUUUGCAUAUUCGUGACUCCUUCAAGGUAUUGUUUUGGCCUUCGCAAUUAAUGCGAUUGAUACCAAGUAAACCCUUGAAUGAACAUUUUGUCCCUCUCGAUAUUUCUAUUUGCAUCCAUGUAGAAAACAUCCAAAUGUGAUAAAUUUAAAGGUUAGAUUAAGAAAAUUUUGACUAAACACGCAACUAGCUUAGACUAGGUUGAAAGGGUGCCUUAGGUUUGAGUUGAUUGAACCUUUGCCUUCCCUUUCUUCAACCGUGACUCCCGAACUCAUUUUCUCUUGUUUUCAAAGACCUGGAGUUGUCUAAAAGGGUUUUAUAUAUUUUAUUUUUGUUAAAAAUAUUUUUGGGUGACUUGGUACACCAAAACUCAAUAUCAAGUGGCGACUCCUAAUUUUUCUUAAAAAUCCUUUUCAGACUAAAUUUUGGACCCAAAUCGUCGCAUUUUUUAAGUCCCAUUCUUGGUCCUUUUUCAUUUAUUUUUUUAAUAAAAUCACAUCUUUUUAUAAACUCAUUUUAUUUUCCCAUCGGAAAAAUGAGGCGCGACAGCUUGGCGACUCCACUGGGGACCGCUAGAGAGUCCAAGCACUUGGUUUAGUUGUUCUUUUCUCUUUUUAACCCUUUUAUUUAUCAUAUUUGGAUGUUUUAGGUUGCAUUUUUCUUUUGUUUUGCAUUUCACACUCGUAAUCGUUCCUCGUUUUACGUGUAUGGGAUGAAUGGCUUAUUUAUUUAUUUAUUUAUUCGUAUCACGCUUUGCAUUUGGGUGGGGGAAAAUAUCACCGUAGAGCCUCCAUGCUUGUUUUAAUAAUCCCUCCCUUCAAAAGGAAGCACUUCAUACGUGCAUGCACUACUUUUCACCAUAUUUUUAUUUUUCUCGUGGGCGCCAUCCCACAUCUCCUUGUAGGAUUAGGAUCGAUUUCCUUAGGUAGGCGGAUGGUGUGCUCUGCGCCCAUAGCGAUGCUUAAGGGAUCACUCAAGCCACCGACCGAAGGUUUUAGGAUUGAUGACCCUUAAUUUUUUGGUCUGAAGGCUCGGGGACCUUAAAAUCUAUCGAGUCUAGAUGCAUUAGUGAGCCCAUACCCCAUGCAUCCAUAUUAGAAAUUACCUAAGAUAAGAGUCAACAUAUCCAGUUAGGGACACUAAGCACGAGGGGAGGGAUUUUACCCCUCUUUCUUUGCUUUAUUUACUUUUUAUCCUUGUAUCAUUUAUUGUCACAAUGUGUUAUAUGUUACUUGUUGAACUAACCUCUCCUUGUUUUCCCUUUUUCUGCAUACACAAACUUUAGAAAUAAGAGUUCUAACAUGGUACUCGUUUAAGAUAAGACCGCCUCUUAUAUCAAGCAUGUUUAAAUUUUAGUCAAUUGCAUAUGCAUAUGUAUUGCACAUCAUUUUAGGCUUACCCCGGCAUUUAAAGAGGGCACUUUUAGGUCAUAUUUCAAUUAUUUAAUCGCUUUAAUAAAUUGGCAUCAUGCAUCAACUAUAGAGGGAAUGCCGUAUAGGGAAUCCCGUGUUAGGAAUAAACCACCUUAUGUCUCGGAUAUAUAAUCCAAUGAGACUUGCACGUUUAUUUUUUUUGUACUGUCCAAAGGGGUAGUGCACGAGGUAAGGUAAGAUCCGAUCUUUUCAAAGACGGCAGAGCAAUUUUUUGCACAUUAGAAUAUGAGCAUCUAACAAUCAUCUUUUGGCCAUUUUCAACAUAUGUGGUAAAAAUCCCUUGCUUAAAGGAUAUUGACUUGAAGAAAUUCACAAAUGAUUCCUCAUUGUUGAGACGAUAAAUAUAUUGAGGCCAAAUCUUGAUUUUAGGAGGCUCAUAGACUAAUGCAUCGCAAUGAAUUUUGAAAAUUACCAAUGAGUGGACAAUUCAAUCCAUUUUUGAAUAAAACAUCAAUUUCAAUCAAUUCACUUGAUCAAUUUAUCCUUUUUGGGUGAUCUGAUCGAUUUUUGAAUAAAUCAUUAACUUCAUUUCAUUCAUUUGGCCAAUUCACCCAUUUUUAGGGCCAAUCGAACUGAUUUUGAAUAAAUCAAGUUUCACUCAAUCCAUUUGACCAAUCUACCCUUUUUUAGGGUGAUCCGAUCAAUUUUGAAUAAAUCAAAUUUCAUUCAAUUCAUUUGACCAAUCUACCUAUUUUUAGUGCAAUUCGGUCGAUUUUAAAUAAAUCAUCAAUUCCAUCCUAUCCAUUUGACCCGUUUUUUUUUCCUUUAGGGUCUAAGCCUAAGAUUCAUUGAAUAAAUUAAUCGAGACAAUGCAAUCUCUUUCACACAUCAUUUUAUGUGUUGAUCGAAACAAGCAAUCCAUUCGGACUUUGUCCUCAUUUUUCAAACAAAUGUCUCUUCUCACUCCAAUUGGCCAAGUUUUUCAAAUCAUUUUUUUCAUUCAAUCAAUUGAUCGGAUUCAUCAGGUAUUGUAUGGUGCCUACACUAGAGGAUUGCAUUUUCAUGUUAGGCCUACCCUUGGCAUAAAAGGGCUCCCCCAUAGGACAUGCAUACCGAUUUUGUAGUCUUACCUACUGACUCGGGGUAUUUCUUUUGUUUCCCCCCUCCCCUGCAUUCAUAAAAAUGCUUUAAUAAGGUGAAAAUAUUUUUCUAUGUCUGCUAAAAUUUGAGAACUACAAGUAUUAUUUGAUUCUUGGGCAGAUCCUACAAUGAAAACAUGAAAGAUCCAUCUGAAAGCUUUGGGCUAAAGCCUCUGAGAGACUUUAUAAUUAUUUUUCAAAGGGAACUUUCGUUUAUUUGAUUUGAUUAUACAUUUUGUUCCAAAAGAAAGGGAGACAAAAGCGUAUAUGUGGGGUUUUGUAGAAGUUUUCUCUUCUCAUUUGUAUUAUAAUUCAACAAGAAAUUUUUGUUUUAAACUUUUUCAGCAAUAAAGUUUUAGACAAUUAUUGUUUUGUAUAUAAUCAUGUACAUUUCAUUCUUUCUGUUGCUCAUUGGAGAUUUCAUGAUGAAUUUUAAGAAAUAAGACCAAGUUGAUUUUUCCUCAACCUCUUGCCUGGAAAUUCACAAGAAAUAGUGAUCCAAACUGUACAAUAAGAGUGCCCGGAAUUAAAAGAAGCCACUCAAACUGAGAGGCCAUCCAAAAGGCCCAAUGAGAUACCUUUUCUCCUUCACUAUACAAUCCCUAUUUUGCCUACCACUAUUUGGCCCCUCAAAAAAAAAAAAAAAAAAAAAAAUCAAUCGCAUUGAUUGAUAAAUUGCAAAUUGGGGCAGCCUUGGUUUGAAAAUGUCCAUUGUGUCUAAUCAAAUUCAAUCCACAUCUGAGUGAAAGCAAAAAUGUACAUAUUUCUUAUUUGUUUUGAAAAUUUGGAAUGAUACUUUAGGCUUUUGUUUCUCUAUACAGAUCCUAUCAUUUGUUUUCCCAUUUGAGAUAAAAAAAAAAAAGUACUUCGUUUCAAAUAAGAGCCUCAAUGAUCAUGACCUUACAUGAAAAGAAUUUCCAAAUGUCAAAAGAAAAUGGAUUCUUAAUGAGCUAUUAUUUUCUUGGGUUGUCAUGAAGCGUAAGAAUGAUGUUUUGGCCAUCGUUUCUGUAAUCUAAACACUUUUAUCCCUUGCAUCCUCAUUUGAGCCUAAAUUAGUGGUUCGUUUCAAAAGCACCUAUGAUCGCACCCGACAUUGGGGAAGGAGAUUUCAAAAAAAAAAAAAGAAGGGAGAAAAUGCUACAAGUUGAGGAAAUUUGAUUCUACCAUCAAUAUUUGGGCUUUAAUUUUGACAAAGAAAAAAAAAAAAAGAAAAGGGAAGAGUUUUGUCCGCACAAAUCGCCUAUGUUCCACAGAUAUGGAUGAACAAGGGUCUCACUCAGUCAGUUAAUUCAGAUACAUGCAAGAAAUUUCGCAUUAAUGAAAGUUUCUUUUCAGGGUUAUUGUAAGGAACGGAAUAAAAGUCAGACCCUCUUCUUUUUCAAUCAGACAUUCUAUCCCUAGUUAUCCCUUUUGAGCCUUCAUCAUAAAUUAUUUCGUUUGGCAACCUCUGAGAAUCGCAAACCCCACACUGGGGCAAGUUUGAGUUGAAAAGUUUCAAGAAAUGAAAAGUGAUAAUGCAACAAAAUCAAAAGGAAAAGAGAAAAGAGAACCUCAGUUCAAAAAAUAAAUUGGGGCAAAUUUUGUGAAAAUUCAAAAAAAUGGCAGAAGGCUGAAAAAUCGAAAGAAAAUGAAAGAGAAAAAGCCUCAAUUGAGCACAAGCUCUGGCAAAUUUUGAUUUAACCCUAAAAUAGAGUUGGCACAAUAAUGCGAUCUCAGAUUCUUCAAACCACUUUUGAAAUCCGUUUUCAAGCUUUAACUUUUCUAAGCACCCACCUGACCCCAUUACAAAGCCGAAAGUCCUGACUUCUGUUCUUUGCAAUGGCCUUGUUGAGAAAAUUUCUGAUGCCGAAAAUUUUAGCUGCCUGGGUAUGGGGUUGACGCCACGCGCCCUGUGAAAACCCACCAAGUUGAGGGAAAGGAAAAGAGAGCGAAUGCAAAAGAAAAAUGUAAAAAGAUUUGAUGCUGAAAGUCCCUGGUGAAUGUUGAGAAAAUGCAAACAAAUUCUGAGAUCUUUGAGUUCAGAAUAGGGCAAUUUUGGAAAAAUGCGAUCUUCGGUACAAUGUCCUUGAAAGUCUUAUUCUUUAACUAUCAUUUUCAAGCCACAUUACAAGCUCAUAAAGUCCAUCGCUGACUUAUCCUUCAUGACAACCCAAAGUGAGAUUAUGCUCAUAAGAAAUCCAUCAAUCAUUUUGUAAUCAUAAGGGUAUAACCAGUUUUCACAUGUUUAACUAUCGUUUCUACCCAUACAUUACAAGCCUACAUGUUGACUAAAUUUUCUCAAGAAAUAAGAGUGAUAAACCAUUUGCUUUCACUAAGAUGUGAUAUUGAAUGUGUUGGAUACAAUUUGGAAAAAAAAAAAAAAGAAAAAGAUCCUGAUAUACCAUCUCCGUGAGCCACCUCAAAAUCCUGAAUAAUAUCCAUUUGAUUGGUUCUAAAAGAUGAGCUAACAAGAAGGGGACAUUUUUCCCUCAACACCGAUCCCAAAAUGAGGAAGAGAUCUUUUGCAAUUUGGUCCUAUUUUGAGAGAUUUAUCAUGGAAUCUUCUAUAUGAGUUUGGAUAUGACAUUUAAAUUCUUCAUUUGACAAAUAUGAUUUUUAUUCACAUUGUAUGUGAUUAUUUUGCAACUAAAAUAAGCCCAAAUUGGGGCAAAAUUUUUUGUAAUAUAUCUGUGAGAUUUCACCAAAUAAAUUCAAAUUGAGGCAAAAUUUUAUAAUACAUUUGUAGGAUAUGUCCAAGGUCAAGUAUAUAUUUUUCAAUUUUUUGAUAAGUCAACACUUUGCAUGGAUCUUAAUUGUUAUAUCAUAACUCAAAAAAAAAAAAGGAGAAAAAGGAAAAGAAAAAGAAUUUUGAAGAUUCAAUUGUUUCGAAAAAUCCCUCACUUGUGCAGGUGUUUAUGGUUAACAUCGAGGAAAAGAUACAAGCGAAAAUGUUGCAAAUUUGGAGAGCUAUCAUGAAUAAAAGAGGGCAAUAAUGCUACAUUGCAAAGUGGAGGAUCGGUUAUUUGUUCAAAAAAAAAAAAAAAGUGCAUGAUUCGGCAGCAAAAAACAAAAAAAAACAAAAAAAGAGAGGAAAAGGGAAUGAAAAAGAAAAGAAAGGGGGAAUGAAAAAAAAAGAAGAGAGAAUAAUAAAAAAGGAGGAAAAAAUGGAAAAACAAAAAAAAGAAGAGAAUAAUAAAAAAGGAGGAAAAAAUGGAAAAACAAAAAAAAGAGAGAAUAAAAAAAGGGGGAUUAAAAAAAAAGAGUUUUUCCUUCGAUUUUGCAAAUUUUUGCAAUUGAACUCUGGGAGCAUUUCACUUGGAGAUUACAUUUCUAAGUUGGGACAACACCUUGCCCUUUUAUGCUGAAAUGGAAGUGGUAAUACAUGCCAAGACCGAGAUCCCGUCCUUGCACAUUUUGACAAAGGUUCAGGCAGAAGAAAUCAAAUGGAUCAAGGAGCACAAUGAGUUGCUAUCUCUGAUUGAUGAAAAGAUGUUGAAUGUUUGCCAUGAACAAUGCUAUCAUCAAAUGAUGGUGGCAAUUUCUUUGUUUUUUCUCUCUUGCAGAAAAAUUGCAUGCACAAAUGAAAGCAAUCACACCUCGCACUAGAACCGGUGCCGGAAAGAGUUCUCCAGUGAACAAAGGCAAAUCGAAAAUGUUGCAAGCAAAUUUGAUUAAAAGGUGCAACAACAUGGCGAUACAGAAUCAACUAUGGACUCAAGUUGCAAAAAUUCAUCAUAUUGGGGCAAAUUAAUUUUUUGGAAAGAUUCUCAAGAGUCAAAAAGAAAAGCGAAAAGAAAAGAAAAAUCACCAGACAAAAAUAAAAAAAAAUCAAUCAGAUCAAGUUCAUCACGGCAAGCUCGGGUUUUGAUCCCACUGUCGAUUGUCAAAAGCAUUUCAUUUUCAUUGCUACUGGAGCUGGGUUUGUCCCACCAGUAAGCAUUUCGUUUACAUCGCUACUGGAGCUGGGUUUGUCCCGCCAGUAAGCAUUUCAUUUUCAUCGCUGCUGGAGCUGGGUUUGUCCCGCCAGUAAGCAUGUUCAUUUGCUUCCGCCGCUAGCCGUUGGGUUUGUCCCACUAGUGUGCCUUUCAUUUGCUUUCACCACUAGCCGUUGGGUUUGUCCCACUAGUGUGCCUUUUAAUUGCAUUCGCCGCUAGCCGUUGGGUUUGUCCCACUAGUGUGCCUUUCAUUUGCUUUCACCACUAGCCGUUGGGUUUGUCCCACUAGUGUGCCUUUUAAUUGCAUUCGCCGCUAGCCGUUGGGUUUGUCCCACUAGUGUGCCUUUCAUUUGCAUUCGCCACUAGCCGUUGGGUUUGUCCCACUAGUGUGCCUUUUAAUUGCAUUCGCUGCUAGCCGUUGGGUUUGUCCCACUAGUGUGCCUUUCAUUUGCUUUCACCACUAGCCGUUGGGUUUGUCCCACUAGUGUGCCUUUCAUUUGCAUCCGCCGCUAGCCGUUGGGUUUGUCCCACUAGUGUGCCUUUUAAUUGCAUUCGCCGCUAGCCGUUGGGUUUGUCCCACUAGUAUGCCUUUUAAUUGCAUUCGCCGCUAGCCGUUGGGUUUGUCCCACUAGUGUGCCUUUCAUUUGCUUUCACCACUAGCCGUUGGGUUUGUCCCACUAGUGUGCCUUUCAUUUGCAUCGCCGCUAGCCGUUGGGUUUGUCCCACUAGUGUGCCUUUCAUUUGCAUCCGCCGCUAGCCGUUGGGUUUGUCCCACUAGUGUGCCUUUUAAUUGCAUUCGCCGCUAGCCGUUGGGUUUGUCCCACUAGUGUGCCUUUCAUUUGCAUUCGCCACUAGCCGUUGGGUUUGUCCCACUAGUGUGCCUUUUAAUUGCAUUCGCCGCUAGCCGUUGGGUUUGUCCCACUAGUGUGCCUUUCAUUUGCUUUCACCACUAGCCGUUGGGUUUGUCCCACUAGUGUGCCUUUUAAUUGCAUCCGCCGCUAGCCGUUGGGUUUGUCCCACUAGUGUGCCUUUCAUUUGCAUCCGCCGCUAGCCGUUGGGUUUGUCCCACUAGUGUGCCUUUCAUUUGCUUUCACCACUAGCCGUUGGGUUUGUCCCACUAGUGUGCCUUUUAAUUGCAUUCGCCGCUAGCCGUUGGGUUUGUCCCACUAGUGUGCCUUUCAUUUGCAUUCGCCGCUAGCCGUUGGGUUUGUCCCACUAGUGUGCCUUUUAAUUGCAUUCGCCACUAGCCGUUGGGUUUGUCCCACUAGUGUGCCUUUCAUUUGCAUUCGCCACUAGCCGUUGGGUUUGUCCCACUAGUGUGCCUUUUAAUUGCAUUCGCCGCUAGCCGUUGGGUUUGUCCCACUAGUGUGCCUUUCAUUUGCAUCCGCCGCUAGCCGUUGGGUUUGUCCCACUAGUGUGCCUUUCAUUUGCUUUCACCACUAGCCGUUGGGUUUGUCCCACUAGUGUGCCUUUUAUUCUGUUGCAUCCGCAUCGCUAGCCGUUGGGUUUGUCCCACUAGUGUGCCUUUUAAUUGCAUUCGCCGCUAGCCGUUGGGUUUGUUCCACUAGUGUGCCUUUCAUUUGCUUUCACAGCACUAGCCGUUGGGAUUUGUCCCACUAGUGUGCCUUUCAUUUGCAUCCGCCGCUAGCCGUUGGGUUUGUCCCACUAGUGUGCCUUUUAAUUGCAUUCGCCGCUAGCCGUUGGGUUUGUCCACUAGUGUGCCUUUCAUUUGCAUUCGCACUAGCCGUUGGGUUUGUCCCACUAGUGUGCCUUUUAAUUGCAUUUCGCCGCUAGCCGUUGGGUUUGUCCCACUAGUGUGCCUUUCAUUUGCUUUCACCACUAGCCGUUGGGUUUGUCCCACUAGUGUGCCUUUCAUUUGCAUUCGCCACACUAGUGUGCCUUUUAAUUGCAUUCGCCACUAGCCGUUGGGUUUGUCCCACUAGUGUGCCUUUCAUUUGCAUCCGCCGCUAGCCUUGGGUUUGUCCCACUAGUGUGCCUUUCAUUUGCUUUCACCACUAGCCGUUGGGUUGUCCCACUAGUGUGCCUUUCAGUUGCAUCCGCCGCUAGCCGUUGGGUUUGUCCCACUAGUGUGCACUUUUACUUGCAUUCGCCGCUAGCCGUUGGGUUUGUCCCACUAGUGUGCCUUUCAUUUGCAUUCGCCGCUAGCCGUUGGGUUGUCCCACUAGUGUGCCUUUUAAUUGCAUACGCGCGCUAGCCGUUGGUUUGUCCACUAGUGUGCCUUUCAUUUGCUUUCACCACUAGCCGUUGGGGUUUGUCCCACUAGUGUGCCUUUCAUUUCAUCCGCCGCUAGCCGUGUGGGUUGUCCCACUAGUGUGCCUUUUAAUUGCAUUCGCCGCAGCCGUUGGGUUUGUCCCACUAGUGUGCCUUUUAAUUGCAUUCGCCGCUAGCCGUUGGCUUUGUCCCACUAGUGUGCCUUUCAUUUGUUUUCACACACACUUUUACUUGCAUUCGCCGCUAGCCGUUGGGUUUGUCCCACUAGUGUGCCUUUCAUUUGCAUGCGCCGCUAGCCGUUGGGUUUGUCCCACUAGUGUGCACCAUGAUUUUAAUUUUAUUCGGCCAGUCCCAUGACUUUUAAAUUUUAUUCGGGUCAGUCCCAUGAUUUUAAAUCUUUUGUUCGGGUCAGUCCCAUGUUUAAUUUUAUUCGGGCCAGUCCCAUGACUUUUAAAUUUUAUUCGGCCAGUCCAUGAUUUUAAUUUUGUUCGGGUCAGUCCCAUGAUGUUAAAUCUUAUUCGGGUCAGUCUAAUGAUUUUAAUUUUGUUCGGGUCAGUCCCAAGAUUUAAGCUUUAUUCGGUGUCAGUCCCAUGAUUUUAAGCUUUAUUCGGGUCAGUCCAUGAUUUUUUAAAUUUUGUUCGGGUCAGUCCCAUGAUGUUAAAUCUUAUACGGGUCAGUCCCAUGUUUUAAUCUCUCGUUCGGGUCAGUCCUAUGUUUAAUUUCUCGUUCGAGUAAGUCCCAUGUUUAAUUUCCUGUUCGAGUCAGUCCCAUGUUUAAAUUCUCGAGUCAGUCCCAUGAUAAAUUCUUGCUCGGAUCAGUUCCAUGUUUAAUUUCUCAUUCAGGUCUAUCCACCAAUUUGUUAUUUAAAAAAAAAAAAAAAAUCAUUAAAUCAAGAUCAAAUUUAAAUUCCUGUUGGAGCGUAAUCGCGUCCCUCCGCGCAUCAAUUUAAAUUCCUGUUGGUGAGUCUCAGCGUCCACCGCGUACCCUUCUAUCUCCCCUUCUUGACAAAUUUAAAUUCCUGUUGGAGCGUAAUCGCGUCCUCCGCGCAUCAAUUUAAAUUCCUGUUGGUGAGUCUCAGCGUCCACCGCGCACACCUUCUAUCUCCCCUUCUGACAAUUUAAUUUCCUGUUGGAGCGUAAUCGCGUCCCUUCCGCGCAUCAAUUUAAAUUCCUGUUGUGAGUCUCAGCGUCCACCGCGCACCCUUCUAUCUCCCCUUCUUGACAGAUCAGAAGAAUCAAUUUAAAUUCCUGUUGGUGAGUCUCAGCGUCCACCGCGUACCCUUCUAUCUCCCCUUCUUGACAAAUUUAAAUUCCUGUUGGAGCGUAAUCGCGUCCCUCCGCGCAUCAAUUUAAAUUCCUGUUGGUGAGUCUCAGCGUCCACCGCGCACCCUUCUAUCUCCCCUUCUUGACAGAUCAGAAGAAUCAAUUUAAAUUCCUGUUGUGAGUCUCAGCGUCCACCGCGUACCCUUCUAUCUCCCCUUCUUGACAAAUUUAAUUUUCUGUUGGAGCGUAAUCCGUCCCUCCGCGCAUCAUUUAAAUUCCUGUUGGUGAGUCUCAGCGUCCACCGCGCACCCUUCUAUCUCCCAUUCUUGACAAAUUUAAAUUCUUGUUGGUGAGUCUCAGCGUCCACCGCGCACCCUUCUAUCUCCCUUCUAUCAAUUUAAAUUCCUGUUGGUGAGUCUCAGCGUCCACACGCGCACCCUUCUAUCUCCCAUUCUUGACAAAUUUAAUUUUCUGUUGGACGCGUAAUCGCGUCCCUCCGCAUCAAUUUAAAUUCUUGUUGGUGAGUUUCAGCGUCCACCGCGCACCCUUCUACCUCCCAUUCUUGACAAUUGCAUUUGAUUUCCUGUUGGAGCGUAACCGCGUCCCUCCGCGCAUGUUUUUAUAGUUGUGACAAGUUACUUUUCUUGACUGUUUUGAUUAAUAAUUGUGCUUUCUCAUUCAUUUUGUGUUUCAUGUUUAGAGAUCUAAAAGUUCAAAUUUUUUUGACUUUGCAAAGAUCACAGUUGGUCAAUGCACUGGUUUCAUUGUGGUUCACUUGUAUUUGAACUACGUUUGACCUGAUUCCCGUGGUGGGAUACGUAGGCAACUCUACAAGAGUUCGGUCACGUGUUUUGCAACUUAAUUGCAUCAUUUUGUUCAAUAAUUUCAGCCAAGCGUUGACCUGUUUAUUUAAUUCAGGUGCAGUUAGAAGAAACAGGUAAGCGAUUUGGUGUCUACGUCUUUGUCUUGACUUUCUUCGAAAUUUCAGACAAAGAGGGGCAAGCUGUAGACACCAAAUUUUUAUCAAUUUUAAUAUUUUCCUCGAUUAUUUUCUAUUUGAUGAGUCAUUUAUUUUCAUGUGUAUUUUUCUUAUAUUUGCAGGUUUAUUUUAGCAAAAGAAAAACAAAAAAAAAAUCAAAAAAAAAAUAGAAAAUAAAAAAAAGGGCAUCAUGAUGUCUAGUCAUCAUGAUGUCUCUGGACAUCAUGAUGACUAGACAUCAUGAUCCCAUCUUUUGACCGAGGAGCAACGGAUGGAAAUUGAAGAAAAGGCUCCAAAAUUGCGUGAGGAGUCCCUGGAGCUCCAACGGACAGAAAGAAAAAUGCUCUCCCGAGCUCUUCUCAGAAGCUCUGAACAGACGAAGGAAAAAACUGCAGAGAGGUUCUCAGGAGCUCAGGGGACCGAAAAGAAAAAAACACCCCUCAUUUGCUCCCUCUCUCAGGCCUCGGUGCAGAAGGAAAAUUUGCAGAGAGGCCCCUGAUUCACUCUCGCAUCUCUCCCUCUCUCGGACGAAGGCUACGGACAGAAAACAGAGAGGGAAAGAAAUUUUUGCAGAAGAGAUCCCUAGCUCAAUUUCUCUCGGUGGAGCAAUGGAACAAAAGAAGGGAAGGAAGAAAAUUGCUCCGAGGACCUCGACUGAGGCAGAAGCAGAAAAGAGAAGGAAUUUGCAGCAGAGGUCCCUGGAUCAUCUCCAGAACUCUCUUCCUCUCUCUCGGACUUGUGUAGAAGAAAGGGGCAAGGCCAAUAAAAAUGAUUGGAGCUUGCAAUUUCAUCAAAUUUUAAUCAAGAGACUACAAUCUUCAUUGAGGUAUUUAUUCUUUUAUCUUUUUUCCAACUUUUUCCUUUCUUUAAUUUAUUAAAUUAAAUACAUGAUUUGAUGUUUGUUUGUCCCUUGGCUUCGUUUGUUGUUGUUACUGAUGUUGUUGAAUUUUUGGGGAAUCCAUGAAUAAACAUUAAAAAAAAUGAUUUCUGUGAAUGCAUGAUAAUUGUUUGAAAAAUGUGAAAAAUGAAAAAAAUGAAUUUCAAGGGCUGUUUUGCUUUAUUUUAAUUUUUUUUAUGUUGUUUUCUUGUCAAAUAAAAUCAUACUUAUAUGUAGGAAUUGUAAGGAGUGUUGUAGUAUAAUUUUUAUGAUUUUUGGUGAAAAUUUGAGUAUUUUAAAAAUAAUAAAAAUCGUGGCUGUUUCUGGCAUUUUGACUAUCUUCGAAUUGUUUUCUGUGCAAACUAAAUCCGGAUUUGGAAUCUACUCGAAAAAUCGAGUGAAAAUGUGUGUUUUAAUAAUUUUUGGUGACCGGAAAAAUUGCCGGCGAUCGGUAACCGGAGGCACCGUCAGCGGUAACCACGGGCACCGACAGAAUGUUGUAGGAAAAGUUGCAGAAGUUGAUUUCCGAAGCUUUGCAUGAUAAUCUGGAAAAUUUGCGGUUCAGCCCCCCGAACUUUUAAAUAAUUACAUUGUGGCCCAAAAGCUUUUGUAAUUGGACCAGUCUUGUCCCUAUUGAGUUUUUUAUUUUCUUUUUCAUAUUUUAACUGCAUUUCAAGUAUGUUGUUUCUGUGAUUUGAGGGUGUAAUUAUAUUUUAAUAAUUUUGAUAGAUUUAUUAUUUUGAUUGGGUUUGAUAAAAUAAUUGGAGUUUUUGGGUUGAGAUUUGUUUGGUUGGGUUUUGGUAUAAAAUUUGGGUCAUUUUAUUGGGUUUUAGAAAUGGGUUUUGGUUUAUUUCUUGUGGGUUUGGGUUGGGCUAAGAAGUCAAAACCCAUGUAUUUAUUUGAGUUGAAUUGAGUGAUAAAAAAGACGGGCUGCCCAUUUCUUUCUUGGAUUUUCAGUUGGGCUGAGAGGGUUUUCGGCCCAAACAAAUAAAUAAAAUGGCCCAGUGGCCCAUUUGGCUGAGAAAUCUGGUUACGAAAUUGCAAAUCAGUCCCUGUACCCUUGAGCAUUUUCUCUAUGGCCCUAAAUAUUUUGAUUUCUUUCAAUCAGAUCCUUCAUAUAAUUGUAAAUAGGUCCCUGAACUUUAUUUUUAUUUAAUUGUGAUCCCAUAUCUUUGUGAUAAUUAUAAUUUGCCCCCAAAACUUUGUUUAUUUUUGCAAUUAGAUCCUUAACAGAUUGGAUUGCUUAAAUAGAAGUUGCUUUUCUUCUAUAAUCAUUGAUUACACUUCAUUUAAGUGUUUCAAUUGAUUGAUUUCAUUUUUAUUUCCAUUUGCUAUGAUUUAUUUGUUAUUUAAAUUGGUGCCUUGAUGAUUUUGUUAAUUUUGGAGGUAAAUAGGGCAAAUCCAAUUUCCAUUAAUUACUACUUCAAGGGAGGUAUCUUCUUGUAUCAUUUUAAAUCCUCUUAUGUGCUCCAAUGUGUUUUAUGUGCAAUCACAUGUUUCGAGUGUUAUUCUUUUAUUUAUUAUUAUUCUUUUCUUUUUAUUAUUGUGAUUCAUUUUUAAUUUUAUUUAUUUUAUUUUAUUUUAUUCUUGAUUAUUUGAGAAGGCAAUUAAAUGUCACAAUUGUAAUAGUUAGGUAUUUAUUUUAAUUAUUUAUUUUAUUUCCCUUUUAGAUUGUAGUAGGCUUCCCCCCUAAUGUAAUAGUUAGGGCUUGUUUGCUUUAUUUACUUGGUGUGAUUUGCGUGCUUCUUGCUACGUGUUACUGUUUUUCUUAGGAUAUUUGCAUCUAGAUAUUAUGCUUACAUGUUAUGUGUUACGUGCUCUUAUGUGUUUAUUUAUUUUAAUUUAUACUUUAUUUGUUUACUAUGUAUUGUUAAUGCAUAACGUCACCACACUAGUCCAACGCUAGUUGUGGCUUCUCCUUCUAUUUACUUGCUAGUCCAACGCUAGUAAGGAUUUCUAGAAAUGGGCUAGUCCAACGCUAGACCCGUAUAUGGUUCAUGCAUUAGAUUCAUUGUUGUAUGAUAUUUAUUACAUUUUCAUGCAUAUUUUAUUUUUUAGGAUCUUUUCUCAUUUGCAUGAUAUUUUCAAUUAUAUUAUCCUCUACCCCUUACCCUCUACAUAUGUUAAUCAUAUCAUUUAGAAUUGCAUUUCAUUUAAGAAAUUGUGGAAUAAGUUAGUUCAUUCGCUUGUUCAUAUUAGAAUAAUUAUUCUUUGAACAGGAAAUGGGUUAUUAUGACUUUUUUAGUUUAAAUAUCCCAUUAAUCCCUGUAUGAUAAAAUUAUGUCACGAGUUUUUGUCUCCCGUACCCAUUAUGAUGCAUCCCUAUUCUUUGAUCACUUAUAUCUAUGUAUAGAAUUUAAUUUGCUUCUUCUGUUUAUUUGAUUUCAUCAUUUGCAUAUUCGUGACUCCUUCAAGAUAUUGUUUUGGCCUUCGCAAUUAAUGCGAUUGAUACCAAGUAAACCCUUGAAUGAACAUUUUGUCCCUCUCGAUAUUUCUAUUUGCAUCCAUGUAGAAAACAUCCAAAUGUGAUAAAUUUAAAGGUUAGAUUAAGAAAAUUUUGACUAAACCACGCAACUAGCUUAGACUAGGUUGAAAGGGUGCCUUAGGUUUGAGUUGAUUGAACCUUUGCCUUCCCUUUCUUCAACCGUGACUCCCGAACUCAUUUUCUCUUGUUUUCAAAGACCUGGAGUUGUCUAAAAGGGUUUUA
RNAcentral lists this long non-coding RNA (24802 nucleotides) under Coffea arabica (coffee). RNAcentral's name for it is "long non-coding RNA (CARA_LNC008221)". The record is from RNAcentral. Lineage: Eukaryota; Viridiplantae; Streptophyta; Magnoliopsida; Gentianales; Rubiaceae.